UUUUUUUUUUUUAUAUUUUUUUUUUACCUCUCUAAGAGAACGGUUAUCAAAGUUUAAAAUGUUAUGACAAAAGAUAAUAUACAAAGUUGGUCAGAACUUGAGAGUGAUCCAGGUUUAUUUUCUCUACUUUUGGAGGAUAUUGGUGUGAAAGGUGUUGAAGUGGAAGAAGUAUAUGAUUUAAAUGAUACUUUUAAUGAAGACUUGAUCUUUGGAUUUAUAUUCUUGUUCAAAUGGGUUGACGAUAACAGGCGGUAUAAUUAUUCCAGAAGGAAAUAUAGUCAAGAUCAAUCUCAGAAAUCUAUUGAUAUUGGAACCAAUAAACUAAAAAUAUAUUUAUCUCAUUAUUUAAAUGAUUCAAAUUUAAUAAAUAAAAUGUUUUUUGCUAAACAAGUUGUGCCAAACUCUUGUGCCACACAUGCUUUAUUGAGCGUUAUAUUAAAUAGACAUGAUAUUGAUAUAGGUGAAAAUUUGUCUAAUUUUAAACAAUACACACAUCUAUACACACCAGAAAAUAAGGGACAUGCCAUAGCAAACAUGAAAGUGCUAGCCAAUUCUCAUAAUAAAUUUGCAAGGAAUGAAUGUGACAAAAAGGAUCCACCUCUUAAGCAGCAAAAAGAAUCACAAAGUAGCAAUGCAGAAAAAAGAUGUAUGAAUGACAUUUUGACUAAUCAUAUUGAUGGCCAUAAUAAAAUGACAAACUCUUCAAUGGGUAAAAUUGAAGCCUCUAAAGAAACUAUUGAUAAUGCCGACAAAAUGAGGGCUCCAUCAUCUCACAUUAAAGCCAAUGACCUUCCCAUUAACAAAAUCAUUGAAGAAACGAUUAAGGGCAGUAAUGAACUCACUUUAACUAAAGAGUUUAUCCAAAAAACUACAAUAUUAUCCAACGAGAUUGCUUCAAAUCAUAACAACCCUGAUUGCAAAAGUGCCACUAAAAAUACCGAGUCUCAGGAGAAAGCCAUUAAAAACAACUUAUUGAACGAAAAUUGCAUGACAGAAAGUUACAAUAAAUCUGCAUCUCCCAAGAACAACAACGAUUGUUUUCAUUACGUUAGCUUCGUACCGAUAGAUGGUGAACUCUUUGAACUGGACGGUUUGAAGCCGUUCCCUAUAAAUCACGGUAGUUGGUCGGAAACGGAAAAUUGGACCGAUAAAUUCAAGGACAUCAUUGUAGAGCGGAUAAACGUGCGAAGAGACUCGAAUAACGAUGUCAACGAAUCAUCCAAUCCUGUCAAGGAUAACCAAGAGACGUUAAAUAAUUCUCGCGAAAUUAGGUACAACCUCAUGGCAGUGUGCGUGGAUAAGCGUAUGGUUAUAAGGAAGAAGUUGUUAGCUAGGAAGUCUCAGUUAUUUACCUCCUUGGAGUUUAUACCGGAAGCUCUCAAAAAGGUUGAUAUCGGGUGUUACAAGAAAUUUCUGAACAUAGAAAACGAUCCUACUCAUAUCAUGCCCAUAAAUAUGCACGAAAAUGUUAAAGAAAUCGAGAAGCCGAAAUUAUUGGGAGAUAUGUUAGUGACCUUACCCGAUAGGGUGAAAAAGAAAUUUGUGCACCAUGUCAAAAAAUUUAAAUCUUUGCAUAGUUUGACGCCUAACGAGCUUGUAUCGCACGAUGCCGUAACUCCCGAUUUUAAAGAUUUCAUAACCUUUUUAUACCAUUUACAAGACGAGAUAAAUGAAUGUCACGAAAAACUGAGCAAGGAAAACGAAAAAUGGGCUAGAUAUAAGGUGGAAGACGCUAGAAGAACACACGAUUACACUCCAUUUAUUAACGCCUUUUUAAAAGCCCUGUCUGAACAUAAAAUUUUGGGCGAAUUAAUCGAAAAUAAUAUGACGAGUUACAGAAGUGAAAAUACUAUAUAUAAAAAUAUACUCACUGCCCGGCAUCACUCUUUGCGAGAUCCAUUUUUUGUCAUGUAAUCCGUUAUUCAUUUUUAUCCACGUUUGAGUCUUCCUCGAGCCCAUUUUAAUAACAUCCAAAUAUUAUGCCAGAAGAAUCGUCACCCGAAAAGGCAAAGGCUCCAAAAAAUGAUUAUUAU
Molecule: RNA transcript, 2033 nt
Organism: Gordionus sp. m RMFG-2023
Lineage: Eukaryota; Metazoa; Nematomorpha; Gordioida; Chordodea; Parachordodidae
Gene name: ubiquitin carboxyl-terminal hydrolase calypso-like
Exons: 17
Source: RefSeq, a predicted model, not a curated record